CCAACAGGGAUUGCCUCAGUAACGGCGAGUGAAGCGGCAACAGCUCAAAUUUGAAAUCUGGCCCUCGGGUCCGAGUUGUAAUUUGCAGAGGAUGCUUCGGGUGCGGUGCCUUCCAAGUCCCCUGGAACGGGGCGCCAGAGAGGGUGAGAGCCCCGUCCGGUCGGCCGCCAAGCCCGUGUGAAGCUCCUUCGACGAGUCGAGUAGUUUGGGAAUGCUGCUCUAAACGGGAGGUAGACCCCUUCUAAAGCUAAAUACCGGCCAGAGACCGAUAGCGCACAAGUAGAGUGAUCGAAAGAUGAAAAGCACUUUGAAAAGAGGGUUAAACAGUACGUGAAAUUGUUGAAAGGGAAGCGCUUGUGACCAGACGUGCAGCGGGUGCUCAGCAGGCGUUCUCGCCUGUGCACUCGCCCGCUGCAGGCCAGCGUCGGUUCGGACGGGGGGACAAAGGCGCCGGGAACGUAGCUCCUCCGGGAGUGUUACAGCCCGGCGUGCCAUGCCCCCGGCCGGACCGAGGUUCGCGUUCGCAAGGACGCUGGCGUAAUGGUCCCCAGCGGCCCGUCUUGAAACACGGACCAAGGAGUCGAGGUUUUGCGCGAGUGUCUGGGUGUCAAACCCGCACGCGUAAUGAAAGUGAACGUAGGUGGGAGCUUCGGCGCACCACCGACCGAUCCUGAUGUUCUCGGAUGGAUUUGAGUAGGAGCGUAGGGCCUCGGACCCGAAAGAUGGUGAACUAUACGUGGAUAGGGUGAAGCCAGAGGAAACUCUGGUGGAGGCUCGCAGCGGUUCUGACGUGCAAAUCGAUCGUCAAAUCUGCGUAUGGGGGCGAAAGACUAAUCGAACCAU
RNAcentral lists this ribosomal RNA (843 nucleotides) under Phialogeniculata obclavata. Its description in RNAcentral is "partial large subunit ribosomal RNA". It matches the Rfam family "Eukaryotic large subunit ribosomal RNA", at positions 65 to 943 of the family's 3401-position model. The record is from RNAcentral. Lineage: Eukaryota; Fungi; Ascomycota; Sordariomycetes; Chaetosphaeriales; Chaetosphaeriaceae.